GACGAACGCUGGCGGCGUGCUUAACACAUGCAAGUCGAACGAAGUGGCGAACGGGUGAGUAACGCGUAAUCAACCUGCCCUUCAGAGGGGGACAACAGUGGGAAACGACUGCUAAUACCGCAUACUCAAGGAGGGGAUUGCGUCUGCUUAGCUAGUUGGAGGGGUAACGGCCCACCAAGGCGGAGAGCAGUAGCCGGGCUGGGAGGAGGGACGGGCAAAAUGGGAAUGGGGCACGGGCCAGACUCCCACGGGAGGCAGCAGGGGGGAAUUUUCCGAAAUGGACGAAAGGCUGACGGAGCAACGCCGCGGGAGUGAUGACGGCCUUCGGGUUGGAAAGCUAUGUUAAGCGGGACGCGGUACCGGAAGAGAAAGCCACGGCUAACUACGUGCCAGCAGCCGCGGUAAUUC
This 408-nucleotide ribosomal RNA is filed under the name uncultured bacterium. RNAcentral's name for it is "partial 16S ribosomal RNA". It matches the Rfam family "Bacterial small subunit ribosomal RNA", at positions 28 to 526 of the family's 1533-position model. The record is from RNAcentral.